GUUAGCCUACGGGGGGCCGCCGUCGGGCCUCUUGCUCCCUUUUGGCCCCCCUGAAGCAGCAACGCCGCGUGGAGGAUGAAGGUUUUCGGAUUGUAAACUCCUUUUGUUAGAGAAGAUAAUGACGGUAUCUAACGAAUAAGCACCGGCUAACUCCGUGCCAGCAGCCGCGGUAAUACGGAGGGUGCAAGCGUUACUCGGAAUCACUGGGCGUAAAGAGCGCGUAGGCGGGAUAGCAAGUCAGAUGUGAAAUCCUAUGGCUUAACCAUAGAACUGCAUUUGAAACUGUUAUUCUAGAGUAUGGGAGG
RNAcentral lists this ribosomal RNA (305 nucleotides) under uncultured bacterium. Its description in RNAcentral is "bacterial SSU rRNA". It matches the Rfam family "Bacterial small subunit ribosomal RNA", at positions 333 to 655 of the family's 1533-position model. The record is from RNAcentral.